AACGAACGCUGGCGGCAUGCCUAACACAUGCAAGUCGAACGAGACCUUCGGGUCUAGUGGCGCACGGGUGCGUAACGCGUGGGAACCUGCCCUUAGGUUCGGAAUAACUCCCCGAAAGGGGUGCUAAUACCGGAUAAUGUCUUCGGACCAAAGAGUUAUCGCCUUUGGAUGGGCCCGCGUUGGAUUAGCUAGUUGGUAGGGAAAAAGCCUACCAAGGCGACGAUCCAUAGCUGGUCUGAGAGGAUGAUCAGCCACACUGGGACUGAGACACGGCCCAGACUCCUACGGGAGGCAGCAGUGGGGAAUAUUGCACAAUGGGCGGAAGCCUGAUCCAGCAAUGCCGCGUGAGUGAUGAAGGCCUUAGGGUUGUAAAGCUCUUUUACCCGGGAUGAUAAUGACAGUACCGGGAGAAUAAGCUCCGGCUAACUCCGUG
RNAcentral lists this ribosomal RNA (433 nucleotides) under uncultured bacterium. RNAcentral describes it as "partial 16S ribosomal RNA". It matches the Rfam family "Bacterial small subunit ribosomal RNA", at positions 29 to 507 of the family's 1533-position model. The record is from RNAcentral.